UCCUCCCUCGGACAUGGCGCUCACCUGCCCGGCCGCAGCAGCCGGCUCCGGCGCCGCGGUUCGCGGGUCCGGGCGGAAGAGCAGCUCCAGCUUCAAACGUGGGGUGGAAGGAGGCGGCGGGGGCGACGGCGGCGGCGACGGCGGGGGCGCGGCCCGCGGGCCCGGCCGGCAUGGUGUCCCAGGUGCUGCAGCUGCUCCGGCAGGGCGUGUGGGCCGCGCUCACCGGGGGCUGGUACCACGACCCGGAGCAGAGCAAGUUCACCAACAGCUGCCACCUCUACCUGUGGCUGUUCCUCCUGCUGCUGCCCCUGGCCCUGCACCUGG
This 324-nucleotide long non-coding RNA is filed under the name Homo sapiens (human). RNAcentral's name for it is "non-protein coding lnc-PCNX2-2:1". Lineage: Eukaryota; Metazoa; Chordata; Mammalia; Primates; Hominidae. The record is from RNAcentral.